This 371-nucleotide unclassified non-coding RNA is filed under the name Hevea brasiliensis (rubber tree). Lineage: Eukaryota; Viridiplantae; Streptophyta; Magnoliopsida; Malpighiales; Euphorbiaceae. The record is from RNAcentral.
GCCACUUUUAUUCGUCUGAGCUCCUUACAUAGUGUGAUGAAGUCUCCCCAUUUCAUGUGACAUCGCCUUAUAAACCGUAGAAUCUGUUCAGUUGUGAACAUGGACAUACCCUCCAGAUAUUCUCCAUUAACACCAUUUUCCUUGAAAAUCUGGCGGUAGCUACCCAGAUUUAUCUCUUCCAACCACAAACCAACAUCCUCAACAGUCCAAAUGAAGAAAUCGAGAGGCUCCGGUCGCCUUUCUUUGCUCAUUUCCUUAGUAAAAUAUCCCAAAUUACCUUAUCGUGCGAAUGCGAGAGAAUGUGGAAAUUUAGAGAGUGAAUUUUCUCUCCAUUUGAGGGGAAAAAAAUUAAAAAAAAAAUUGGGAAAAAG